Molecule: long non-coding RNA, 1055 nt
Filed under: Mytilus galloprovincialis (Mediterranean mussel)
Lineage: Eukaryota; Metazoa; Mollusca; Bivalvia; Mytilida; Mytilidae
Source: RNAcentral
UUCCGGUUCAAAAGAUGUUACUUCCGGUAUUGUUUUAUAGUUUACUUGACCCUGCUUAACCGAACACUUUCCCAUAUAAGAGUUAUCUCCCCGAACACUGUUUUCCUUGUUAUCGUUUAAUAUUCGCAACCGUAUAAGAAACCGACAAAUUUAUUUUACCAAAUUGCUCGUUAUAUCCUCAGGAUAAAUUGAUCAAUUUUGACCGAAGCUAUCCGGAGACUCUAUACGAGAGUUAUUUCCCCUUUUUUAUUUGAUAUAAGUGAAAUGUAUUUGAUUUGAUUUGAGGUCCACGGUUCCAAAAAAUGAAAAUGAGGUAAAGGUCAAAGGUUAAGGUCAUGUACAAAAAAAUGAUUUUGGCUUGUUAUCUCUCAUUUUCAGAAAACUUAUAAGAUAUCGACAAAAUAUUCUCGUUAUAUCCUCAGGAUAAAUUGAUCAAUUUUUACCGAAGCUAUCCAGAGACUCCAUACGAGAGUUAUUUCCCCUUUUUUAUUUGAUAUAAGUGAAAUGUAUAUCUAACUAGAAAACCAUAAGUGAUAUAGGCCUAGGGUCUUGAUUUGAGGUCCACGGUUCCAAAAAAUGAAAAUGAGGUAAAGGUCAAAGGACAAGGUCAUGUACAAAAAAUUGAUUUUGGCUUGUUAUCUCUCAUUUUCAGAAAUCUGAAAAGAUAUCGACGAAAUAUUUUCACACAAUUGUUAGUUGCGACAUGUUGCACCACAUAAAUUUUAGUCGAAAGGGAACGUAAUCCUUGAUGCGAGUUUUCCCCCCUUUAAUAUCUAAUAUCAGUCGUAUGGUAAUAUAUCUCAUUAAAAAUAUAAAGUAGAGACCUAGAGCCUUUUGAUUUGAGGUUCUUGGUUGAAGACCUUGAAAUUGAGCUCAAGGUCAUAUGUAAAUUUAACGUUCUAGAUUUUGACCUUUGCUUUUACCUCAUUUGUAUUUUUGAUAAAGCUAUGGGACUUUUUGCAUUAAGUUGCAAGCAAUAUGACCUUGAAAAAGCUAACCGGAAGUGAUCUUUUGUAAACCGGAAGUAGCUAAUUUUUUAUAAAUUAUUGUUAAAG